RNAcentral lists this ribosomal RNA (496 nucleotides) under uncultured bacterium. RNAcentral's name for it is "partial 16S ribosomal RNA". It matches the Rfam family "Bacterial small subunit ribosomal RNA", at positions 28 to 506 of the family's 1533-position model. The record is from RNAcentral.
GAUGAACGCUGGCGGCGUGCCUAAUACAUGCAAGUCGAGCGAACAGACGAGGAGCUUGCUCCUCUGACGUUAGCGGCGGACGGGUGAGUAACACGUGGAUAACCUACCUAUAAGACUGGGAUAACUUCGGGAAACCGGAGCUAAUACCGGAUAACAUGUUGAACCGCAUGGUUCAACAGUGAAAGACGGUUUUGCUGUCACUUAUAGAUGGAUCCGCGUCGCAUUAGCUAGUUGGUAAGGUAACGGCUUACCAAGGCAACGAUGCGUAGCCGACCUGAGAGGGUGAUCGGCCACACUGGAACUGAGACACGGUCCAGACUCCUACGGGAGGCAGCAGUAGGGAAUCUUCCGCAAUGGGCGAAAGCCUGACGGAGCAACGCCGCGUGAGUGAAGAAGGUCUUCGGAUCGUAAAACUCUGUUAUUAGGGAAGAACAAAUGUGUAAGUAACUAUGCACGUCUGGACGGUACCUAAGCAGAAAGCCACGGCUAACUACGU